This 1470-nucleotide long non-coding RNA is filed under the name Homo sapiens (human). Its description in RNAcentral is "HSALNT0390239". Lineage: Eukaryota; Metazoa; Chordata; Mammalia; Primates; Hominidae. The record is from RNAcentral.
AUAAAGGUAAAAUUUAACUUAUCUCUUAUAAAAUCAUACAGGAAACAUUAUCAAACAUAAAAUGAUGUUUGACUUUCUUUAUUCUAAAAACUAAUAAAAAUAGGUGCUAAAAAUUUUCCAAAUGAAAAUAAAUAUUGCUAAACCAAAGAGAAAUGUUAUCUAAGCCCCGUAUAAAAAAUAAAUAAAUCUUGUUCCAAUUGCAUCAAAAAACCCAUUAAGGGCCCUCCAGCACAGGGUUAAUACCAACGAGUUUCCACCUCCAGCUGCUCCUAGAGUGGCCACAGCAUGAGCCAUCUGGUGGGGGACCUAGCCGCCAACAGACACUUCCUGUACAGGGGAGGGGGGAGGGGGCCAGGCAGCCGUUAGACAGCACAACCGAACCCAACACCGGGGCCCAACGGCAGGGGCUUGGGCAGGAGCAAGGUCCGAGGGCUGCCAGGUCCACGCUGCUUUUAUGAGCUGUAACACUCACCGCGAAGAUCUGCAGCUUCACUCCUGAGCCCAGCGAGACCACGAGCCCACCGGGAGGAACAAACAACUCCAGACGCGCUGCCUUAAGAGCUGUAACACUUGCCGUGAAGGUCUGCAGCUUCACUCCUGAGCCAGCGAGACCACGAACCCACCAGAAGGAAGAAACUCCGAACACAUCUCAACAUCAGAACGGACAGACUCCAGACGCACCACCUUAAGAGCUGUAACACUCACCGCGAGGUUCCGCGGCUUCAUUCUUGAACAAUGAAUCCUCCAAUGUACCUGACUCUCCCUUUGCGAAGAGCAUCUCCGUGGCAGAAAUCUGAAAAUGCCCCUGGGGAGACACAUGCACAAGACAGUUCGUGAGCCACACAUCUCCCCACACCAAGCUCCUCCAUACAAGACCUCGGACUGCAUCACGUAAAUGCUUUUUCAGGGGCAAAAUCUAGAGAAUCUGAAACGAGCUAUCAGCUUCCCAGUUUGCACAAUUCAUCAAGAAAUUAUGCGGGGUCACUGGCACAAAUGAUGAGGCAUCUCCUGGAAGCUUAACUUCUUAUCCAUCCCAUCUCUUGGACAGAUGAUGCCAGUUAAUUACUUUGAAUGUAAGUAUUUUAUCUAAAAGCACUUAUGUGUCUAAACAGACUUCUACAAAUCAGUACCAAAAUGGUAAAUAAUUCCACAGAAAUAUGGGCAAAAGCUUAUCAUUAUCAACAAAUGAGAAGAAAGAAACCCUAUGCCAGGUAACACCAAAGCUUUGGCCCAGUGCCCUCUGUUGAAACAUCCUAGGCUUUUUCUUUCCACUCCUAUUACAACUGAUCUGAUUUGGCCCCUUCACACUUCACUCCUAGAUUUUGCUAGACCUUUCUAUUUUGUCUCCCUGAAUUAAGCUUUUCCUUUUGGACACUUUACAUAUGGAUUCUAAAACAAUCCUCUGCAUGUCUACACUUGCACAUAAUGCAAAAAACAAAAUAAAAUAAUCUUCCUGUUUUGAUCAUGUAA